Molecule: RNA transcript, 2035 nt
Organism: Hemicordylus capensis (graceful crag lizard)
Lineage: Eukaryota; Metazoa; Chordata; Lepidosauria; Squamata; Cordylidae
Gene: S100PBP
Gene name: S100P binding protein
Exons: 6
Source: RefSeq, a predicted model, not a curated record
CCACUGGCGGGAGGGAGGAAAAUGUCCUGAGUCAGGCUAACUCCUCCGUUCCAAACUGGAAUAAGUUAAGGUUAAGACGAGAUUUUAAAUGGCCCGCCCCCUCCCCGGGACGGAGAUCGACCCACCCCGGGGGGCAGGGGGAGGACACCGACCUCCCCGCCGCCCUCACACUCACCACCACCAGCUGCCGGGUCCUGCUUGCAUCAGCUUCUCCGCCCUCGGCGCUCUGCUGCCCAGCCUGGCGACAGCCGCGCUUCUGCUGAAGGGAGCACCGAGUGACUCGAUCGACAGGCGGCGGGGCUUCGGCCUCUCUCGCCGGGGGCGGGGCGAGGAGACGAAGGGGGCGUGGCCCGACAAGCUGCGCCGGAGGGCCGCGCCUGCGCCGUUGUUAACUUGGUCAGUCGCCGGGGAGCGAAGAUGGCGGUAGUGGUUUCCAGGAGCAAGAGGCCCUUGACAGACUUUCCAGAGGGAGACCAAUCCCUGCAUCCGGACCUGAAGAGACAGUGCUACAGUGCACCCUGCCUUCCUCAAAAGACCUCUCUGCUGCCUUCUAUUAUUUCCUCCUCCAGCAGCGGAGUAGCAGCUUCUCAGAUUUACUCAUUGACCUCCACGGGAUACAGGGAUGACAGUGAGCUCGAUGCCACCUUAUUAGAGCCUUCCGAUGGGGAGGAGCCAGAUUCUUCCUCGGAUCUCUCCCCUGAAGACGAGGACAGACUUUUGGAAGACGAUCCAGACGAUAAGCCAAAGAUCUUCGCACGUCAUGUAGCAUUUGGACAGAAUGCAGACCAAGUGGAAAGUAGUUAUUUUCCAGUAUCCUCUCUAAUAGUACAGCUGCAGAGCACUCCUAGGACCUUAGAGGAGACAGUAAGUAUAGAGCCUCUUCCUCCGACUGGCCCUUCAGGCAGCUUUAGUUGUGGCCUUGCUUGCAGGAAUGAGCCUGUCAAUUCAGAAUGGGGAAGUGACUUGAACACAGGCUUUCAGAAUCAAACUGGACUGAGUCUGAAUUUGAAAAGUCCUGAGCUUCCGGAAGCUGUGUCAGUGGAGGCAGCUUCUGUGAGUCUAGAGAAUGGGGGUGAUGGGUGUGGGGUAGCCUUUGAGGAGGCUGCUCAGGCAGUGAGCGAUGAUCCAGGCUCAGCUGUUGAGUCGACUAGUGUGGUGGCUGAAGGGCCCUCCGAGGAACAGGCUUCCGUAGGCCAAAGUGAGGUUGCAGGGGAUAGUGCAAGCAAUGUACCAAAUGAAACCAAAGGAGAAGCAAACUCUGCCAGCUUGCUUGAGGAGGCUGCAACAUCCAGUUCAAAUUCUGCUGGAGACCAAAGUGGGGAUCGUGUGGCAAAUCCUGGAGACCAAAGCGGGGAUUGUGUGGCAAACCCUGGCGCUGGAGAACCAAAUAGGCCAAGACCUGCAUCCAAGAUCUGCAUCCAAGAGGCAGACCUCGAGCUGCAUAAGAGAAACUAUGUCAACGCUGUCCGUGCUCACGUGGCCUUUGAUAAUGGGAAACUUGUGGGUGCAACCAACGAACUCUAUGCGCUGAUGGGGAGGGUGGCUUCCGAAUUCCGCUCCCAGGAACCUGGAUUUGUGCACCCAACUGACUUGACGAUGAGAUGCAGCGAUGGCCACUAGCUUAGGCUGUCUGAAAACAAGAGGAGGCGAUUUCCUGGAGGAGAGGUCUAGCUAUUGGCCACCAUUGCUAAAUGGAACCUCCAGGUUUAGAGGCACUGUACCUCUGAAUACUUGAUGCCAGGACUCGAGACAGGAGAUGGCCACUGCCUCUGUGUCCAGCUUGUGGGCUUCCCAGAAGCACCUGGCUGGUUAGCAUUGGAAGCAGAAUGCUGGGAACUAUGCAGAACGAACUAACCAGCCCACCAAGAGGUACACUCUCAGUCAGUGGGUCGAAAGGAACCAGCGCAACCAUCGUCGGUUUGAGGAUCCUCAGUUUUUGCACUUUAAGCGCAGCCCCAUUCCAGGCCUCUAGAGGGCGGCCCAUAAACAGAAACUGUGUUUUUUAUCUGCACUUUAAAGUUUGUUUAAUAUUUAA